GAAUUCCAGGUGUAGCGGUGAAAUGCGUAGAGAUCUGGAGGAAUACCGAUGGCGAAGGCAGCCAUCUGGCCUAAUACUGACACUGAGGUGCGAAAGCAUGGGGAGCAAACAGGAUUAGAUACCCUGGUAGUCCAUGCCGUAAACGAUGUCUACUAGCCGUUGGGGGAUUUGAUCCUUUAGUGGCGCAGCUAACGCGAUAAGUAGACCGCCUGGGGAGUACGGUCGCAAGACUAAAACUCAAAUGAAUUGACGGGGGCCCGCACAAGCGGUGGAGCAUGUGGUUUAAUUCGAUGCAACGCGAAGAACCUUACCUGGCCUUGACAUAGUAGAGACUUUCCAGAGAUGGAUUGGUGCCUUCGGGAAUCUACAUACAGGUGCUGCAUGGCUGUCGUCAGCUCGUGUCGUGAGAUGUUGGGUUAAGUCCCGCAACGAGCGCAACCCUUUUCCUUACUUGCCAGCAUUUCGGAUGGGAACUUUAAGGAUACUGCCAGUGACAAACUGGAGGAAGGCGGGGACGACGUCAAGUCAUCAUGGCCCUUACGGCCAGGGCUACACACGUGCUACAAUGGUCGGUACAAAGGGUUGCUACACAGCGAUGUGAUGCUAAUCUCAAAAAGCCGAUCGUAGUCCGGACCGCAGUCUGCAACUCGACUGCGUGAAGUCGGAAUCGCUAGUAAUCGCGGAUCAGAAUGCCGCGGUGAAUACGUUCCCGGGCCUUGUACACACCGCCCGUCACACCAUGGGAGUUUGU
RNAcentral lists this ribosomal RNA (751 nucleotides) under uncultured bacterium. Its description in RNAcentral is "bacterial SSU rRNA". It matches the Rfam family "Bacterial small subunit ribosomal RNA", at positions 664 to 1415 of the family's 1533-position model. The record is from RNAcentral.